UACGUAGGGUGCGAGCGUUGUUCGGAAUUACUGGGCGUAAAGCGUGCGCAGGCGGCUUUGCAAGACAGAUGUGAAAUCCCCGGGCUUAACCUGGGAACUGCAUUUGUGACUGCAUGGCUGGAGUGCGGCAGAGGGGGAUGGAAUUCCGCGUGUAGCAGUGAAAUGCGUAGAUAUGCGGAGGAACACCGAUGGCGAAGGCAAUCCCCUGGGCCUGCACUGACGCUCAUGCACGAAAGCGUGGGGAGCAAACAGG
This 253-nucleotide ribosomal RNA is filed under the name uncultured bacterium. RNAcentral's name for it is "partial 16S ribosomal RNA". It matches the Rfam family "Bacterial small subunit ribosomal RNA", at positions 524 to 776 of the family's 1533-position model. The record is from RNAcentral.